Molecule: non-coding RNA, 198 nt
Organism: Electrophorus electricus (electric eel)
Lineage: Eukaryota; Metazoa; Chordata; Actinopteri; Gymnotiformes; Gymnotidae
Source: RefSeq, a predicted model, not a curated record
UAGAAAGAGAGGACAUACCAGAGAACUACGAUGAUGUCAUCACUGCUGGACCCAGCCCUGAUAUUGUAGCAGAGGACGUAUCUGAGAAUUAUGAUGAUGUCAUUACUGAUGAUCAGAACGCUGCUGUUGUGACAGAGGAGAUGACAGAGAACUAUGAUGAUGUUAUUACCACUGGACUAAACCCAAACAUUACAGCAA